CAGUAGCCGCGGGAAUACGUAGGUGGCAAGCGUUGUCCGGAAUUAUUGGGCGUAAAGGGCUCGCAGGCGGUUUCUUAAGUCUGAUGUGAAAGCCCCCGGCUCAACCGGGGAGGGUCAUUGGAAACUGGGAAACUUGAGUGCAGAAGAGGAGAGUGGAAUUCCACGUGUAGCGGUGAAAUGCGUAGAGAUGUGGAGGAACACCAGUGGUGAAGGCGACUCUCUGGUCUGUAACUGACGCUGAGGAGCGAAAGCGUGGGGAGCGAACAGGAUUAGAUACCCCAGUAGUCCCUGUCUCUUAUAC
Molecule: ribosomal RNA, 301 nt
Filed under: uncultured bacterium
Lineage: Bacteria
Description: partial 16S ribosomal RNA
Rfam family: Bacterial small subunit ribosomal RNA
Source: RNAcentral